Long non-coding RNA from Silurus meridionalis, 1660 nucleotides. RefSeq lists it as uncharacterized. The record is from RefSeq and is a predicted model, not a curated record. NCBI's taxonomy places the organism in Eukaryota, Metazoa, Chordata, Actinopteri, Siluriformes, Siluridae. The transcript is spliced from 3 exons.
AGAAGAAUGCUGAGAGAGAGAUAGAAAGCUGGGCAGCAUGUGUGUACUGUAUGUUUGUGAGAUAAAGAAGGAAAAACCUGCGUGUAGAAAAGGAAAGAAAACGUUUCUCAUCGUCUCAUGUUUUCUCGUGGACUUUUUGAACCAAGUAGUAUGUUAUAUAACCCAAUUAACGACCACCAGUUUUCCACAAACCAAUCACUAAAUCCUGUUUUCCAGCCUUGACUGAUUAGCACUUUUCUUAACAACCAAUCACUGAUCCCCAUUUCCCCCAUUGUUCCUAUCAGACAAUCUAUUUUCCCAAUAUCCAAUUACCAAUCCCUGUUGGCCACAGUUUGUCGUGCCUAUGCUUUUCAAUCCUAAUUUUAAACUCUCAGCAUCCUAGUUUUUACUUGUUGCUUAAACUGUGUUUAUACUCAAUGCUACACAUCUGACAUGUGACAGUAACCCCCUUGCUUUUAACAGAAAAUACUUUUUUAGAUGAGUAGAAAUACACUAUAUGGACAACCUCAUUUUUCCAUCCAUAUGUGGUUUUCCCCCAAGCAAUUGUAUAUUUCUGUAUGUCUUCAGAUGUCCUAGCAUAAAAUCUUCAGACCCAAACCUGUUCCAGCAUGACCAUGUCUGUGCACAAAGCCAGCUCCAUGAAGAUAUGCUUUACAUAGGUCAGAGUCGAAGAUGUAGAGGAGUGGCCUGCUAUAGAUAUAUAUAACUGUAAUACCUACCACAUCACAGGCCUUAACACUAACGCAACAGUAAAUGAGCACAAAUCCUAACAAAAUCUAGGGGAAGAUCUUCCCAAAAGACUGGAGUUUAUUAUAACAGCAAAUGGGGACUGAAUGUGGAAUACAGUAUACUUACCAGUCAUCUUAAAGCAAGCCAUUGUUUGUUGAUCCCAACGAAAAACCGGCUGCAGCUAAUUCACGCUGGGCCUGACCGUGCCUCUUCGCAUUCUAUUCCUUUAUAACAGGCCCUCGUUCAUCACAGCGGAAACGGAUCAGCUUAAACGCCUAUUCAAACGAGAUGACCAAUUUGAUUUGUAUGUUCCUGCCAUUCUUUUUCAAAAUGGAUAUGGCCCUUACUGGGGAGUAAUUAUUUCCCUGAGACAGCAUGCCUGCAAAGCGUUUUAUUGCUCGCUCGUUAGCUUGAUCACCUUUAAAUUGAGAAACGUUGGCAGACAGCAUCGAAGAGGACAACGCCAUUCACUCGUAACCAUAUAUACAGUUUAUUUCUACACGUAAACAUGACAUUCGUGUGUGCAAUAUACAUUUACUUCACAUACAGCCAACAGAUAUAGAUAACUAUGAGAAAUAAAGAACACAAGGUUGAGAAAGCAGGACGGGUGCCUCAUAAUGGACCGAUGACCAGGAUAAGAAUGAUGGAUGGAUAAUGGAUACACGGAUGGAUGAUGGCAUACACAUACAGCUGGAGAGUUUCUCCUUUGUCUUCAGUCUUUGACUGAUCCUGGUUCAGCAGGAAGUCCCUCUGCUUUUCUCCACUGAGCGUUACGCAUCUUGAACCAUUUCUACAGGACAAAGGGAGAGCGAGAGAAUGUUUUAUGACUGGAACAUGCUUCAAGACUUUGGAAAACUGGAAAAGAAACAGUGAUAUCGGAAACUGCUUUUAAUAAAUAAAAUAAAAAAACCUCCAGACGUUAACAAUUUAC